UACGUAGGGGGCAAGCGUUGUCCGGAUUUAUUGGGCGUAAAGAGCGUGUAGGCGGCUUUACAGGUCCGUUGUGAAAACUCGAGGCUCAACCUCGAGACGCCGGUGGAAACCGUAAAGCUAGAGUCCGGAAGAGGAGAGUGGAAUUCCUGGUGUAGCGGUGAAAUGCGCAGAUAUCAGGAAGAGCACCCGUGGCGAAGGCGGCGCUCUGGGACGGUACUGACGCUGAGACGCGAAAGCGUGGGGAGCGAACAGG
Molecule: ribosomal RNA, 253 nt
Filed under: uncultured bacterium
Lineage: Bacteria
Description: partial 16S ribosomal RNA
Rfam family: Bacterial small subunit ribosomal RNA
Source: RNAcentral